This is a non-coding RNA of Aeromonas diversa, 74 nucleotides long. The record is from Rfam. NCBI's taxonomy places the organism in Bacteria, Pseudomonadati, Pseudomonadota, Gammaproteobacteria, Aeromonadales, Aeromonadaceae.
GGCUAUGUAGCUCAGUUGGUUAGAGCAUCGCACUCAUAAUGCGGGGGUCACAGGUUCGAAUCCCGUCAUAGCCA